UCCCUGAAGCCAUAUUGAUUCUCACUUAACAGCGCAUGCUUUUGUAUAAAGCUAUCAAGUCUGCGAGAAAAUAGUUUUUCUAAUAUUUUUGAAAAUUGUGGUAGUAGUGAUAUUGGUCUAUAAUUUGUAAACAAAUGUCUUUUUCCACUUUUAUAGAUUGGAAUAACUUUAGCAAUUUUCAUUUUUGAUGGAAAGAUACCAGCUUUGAAUGACAGGUUGCAUAUGUUACUGCCGAUGUUGACAAAAUACUCAUUAAAUUCAGUUGCUAUUUCUGCAGUUUUUUCCAAAAUAGUAUUUUUGCUUUUGAUAAAAUACUCUGGAUAAUCCAUUUUUUUAGGACUAUUUCUGAUUACUUGGUUAAGUAUUUUCCAUAUUUCUUGUGUGUUACCUUUAUUCUGCUCUAAUAGUGCAUGAUAAUGAUCUCUUUUACUGGUUCUUAUAAUAUUUACUAGUUUAUUUUUAUAGGUCUUAUAUUUUUUUCUGCUUCUUCAGUUCUGAAUUUUAAAAACAAUUUAUAUAAAUUGUUUUUCUUUUUACAUGUGUUUUCUAUGCCUUUCGUUAUCCAUGGCUUACUUGGGUCUUUAUACUUUUUGGAGACUUUAGUUAAUGAAAAA
Hippocampus zosterae (dwarf seahorse) is the source of this 614-nucleotide long non-coding RNA. RefSeq lists it as uncharacterized. The record is from RefSeq and is a predicted model, not a curated record. NCBI's taxonomy places the organism in Eukaryota, Metazoa, Chordata, Actinopteri, Syngnathiformes, Syngnathidae. The transcript has 2 exons.